AUGCACGCUGGCGGCGUGCCUAAUACAUGCAAGUCGCGCGAACGGACGAGAAGCUUGCUUUUCUGAUGUUAGCGGCGGACGGGUGAGUAACACGUGGAUAACCUACCUAUAAGACUGGGAUAACUUCGGGAAACCGGAGCUAAUACCGGAUAAUAUUUUGAACCGCCUGGUUCAAAAGUGAAAGACGGUCUUGCUGUCACUUAUAGAUGGAUCCGCGCUGCAUUAGCUAGUUGGUAAGGUAACGGCUUACCAAGGCAACGAUGCAUAGCCGACCUGAGAGGGUGAUCGGCCACACUGGAACUGAGACACGGUCCAGACUCCUACGGGAGGCAGCAGUAGGGAAUCUUCCGCAAUGGGCGAAAGCCUGACGGAGCAACGCCGCGUGAGUGAUGAAGGUCUUCGGAUCGUAAAACUCUGUUAUUAGGGAAGAACAUAUGUGUAAGUAACUGUGCACAUCUUGACGGUACCUAAUCAGAAAGCCACGGCUAACUACGUG
RNAcentral lists this ribosomal RNA (496 nucleotides) under uncultured bacterium. RNAcentral's name for it is "partial 16S ribosomal RNA". It matches the Rfam family "Bacterial small subunit ribosomal RNA", at positions 29 to 507 of the family's 1533-position model. The record is from RNAcentral.